This is a long non-coding RNA of Oncorhynchus tshawytscha (Chinook salmon), 3099 nucleotides long. NCBI's taxonomy places the organism in Eukaryota, Metazoa, Chordata, Actinopteri, Salmoniformes, Salmonidae. The record is from Ensembl.
UGUUACUUCUUUGUAAUAUUGUUUUUUUUUUGCUUUAUCCUGAUAUUGUAUUCUAAUUACUAAUCAUUCCACUUUAUUCUGUGCUUUCAGAAACCACACACACACAAACAGUAUUGAACAUUAUUUUCCAAAAUCAUAUCUGGAACUGGACAUAGCUGGAAUCUUUCAAGCAACAUACUGUUUGAACGUAAACUCCUCAAGUUUUACUGGAUGAAAUCACAGCAAGAAAACACAUAGGCCUAGGUGUAAUAAUCGUCUAUUUUAUUGAAGAAUUGGUGGUGGUUGAACAACAACAACAGAACUUGUUUUACGAGAGGAAACUAAACAGCAAGAAUAGACUGACAACUUAUGAAUAUCCAUAACCCAUAUUUAUGCAGUGAUUGAACAACAACAGCAUUUCCACACCCCACCUCUAAAGGCAUAGAAUUACGGAAGUUCACCUGUCACGUCAGUCAGAAAUUGCUACAGAUUUGCUGAAUAUUGCUUGAGCAUAUGGCACUUCCCAAAGCAUGGUGAAACACACAGAGCUGUGUCAUAAGCUAACCACAUGUACUUUGUAAACCUCCUCUGCUUCCUUUUCCUGGUGUCCGUCAGGCAGACUUUGCAGUGCCUCUGUGUGCGACUGCCUUCACCAGCAGUUUGAGGGACUUCGCAGGGAAAAGGCCGUGCAGUGAGGCGUAGGGGAUUGUCUGCAGCAGGACGACACCCCUCUCAUUAGGUUUUUGCUGUACUUUUGGCAGGUCAUUAAUUUACCUAUGGGGGAGAGGGAGUGGGGAGGAUGAGGGAUUGGAGAGGAUAAUGAGGCAGUGGGUAGGUGGGUGAGUUAUUGUCACUAUAAUUACAUAAUUGAACUGCAUGUGAUUUGUAUGUGAACUGUAUUUCCAAUUACAAAAUGUAUUUUUCACUUGUUAUCUCACCUGUUAGUUGGCGGUUAACUAUGUGGCCAUUGAGUGCAGCAGUGUUGAUCAGAAGGGAAAAUAUCUUCUUAUACCACUUGGUAGUUUUCAGAGUGCAUUCCACAAAGCUGUUUAUCAUGUCCGCCUUAUCCAAUGCCCCCAUUUUGAGGUUAUAGUCAAGCACACAGUCUGGUUUGAUCUUUCUCUCUCCCAUCAGGUGGUCCAGCUUCCCUGUGGCCGACAUGGUUGCUGUAUGGACAGUGGAGAGGACACAGACGUCUCGCUUUUCAUGCCACUUUACUGUCAGCUGUUGGCCGUUCUAUUUGAACCUUCCCUCUCUGCAUCUUCCUGCCUCCGAAUGCUAACAUCCCCUUCCUGUUCGACCUGACUGUGACACAAGCCCUGUGCUGUUGGAGAGGAGAUACUGGAAGAGUGUGGGACUGCUGUACAAACUGCCCACGUACAAAGUGUGUCCCGUGCCGAGAUGAGGAGCCAGCAUGGUCAUCACCAUGGACCCGGACACUCCAAGCCCCUCAUAAUGUUGGAUGUCAGUGGUGGACCCUGUGUAAAUCAUAAUGUAAUGGACAAAUCCUGUCAUGUCGCACGUAACAAAGAACUUGACCCCAAACCUGUGGGUUUUGGAGGGAAUAUCUUGCCAGCCUACCCUUCCAUAACAUCAGGGACUCAUCAAUGCAUACGUCCUUGUAUGGCACAAAGACCCAACCAAAUGCUCAUGUCAGGCUGCUCCUCUGUCAGAAAUAGCUUGAAGCACACUGCCUCAGAGAGAAAUGGCAAGUGGCUUUGUACUCCAGACUGGGACUCAUCAACGCAAACAGCAGGGCCAGGAGGGGUGAAAUGGCUGGCGGCCUUCCAGCUACCACAGAACUCCUGUACUUCAUCCACUGUCGGUCUGCAUCCAUCACCACCAGCAUCUUCAAAGGGACUUGGAUCUUCGUCAGUGGACAAGUGGUCCUCAGAUUUAGGGUUCUCAAUGGCUACAAGGUUGGGGUGCUCACUGUCAUUGUCAGAAUCUGAUUCCUUACUUUCAUUCUCAGACUCACUGUCAUAAUUUAUAAUCAUCUCCAGAAUUACUGCAUUUGUGAGUUGUCUCCUUUUGAAAGUCAUUGCUAAUGCUCUAGCUUAGCACACUAGCUAGAUACAUAAACAACAACACUGAAUGGCUCAGGGUGGGUGUCAGAGGUUAUGUGAUUGACUGCUGGCACGCACCACUUGUAUCAAUAAGUCACUAUCAGAAAAUGUUUUGUAUGGUAAUUAUUUACUGUUUUAUUCACGUUUAAGUACUGGUGACAAAUCAUGAAUUCCGAUUCUUGCAUAGAUUGUAAUGGACACAUACGUAUGACGUGUUAAAAUUAUUUUUUGAAGGUUGUACUGAUUAUGAUGAGCUAAGCUAAUUCUAGCUAUGUGUGGAGCCAUGUCUGUUGACAUACAAUGCAUUCUGGGUUUCACAUAAAUGUCUGUCAGACCAAAGAUGUUAUAACAAAAUGAAGUGAGGGAGGGUUCACUCAUAUUUCAAGUAAACUUCCGGAAGUGAAUGAUGGGAUGUGAAUAAUGGAAGACGACACAGCCCCUUCAACAUGCAUUCUGCAAACAGACCAAACUCAUCUUGUCGCAUCUUAUUAUCUUUGGUUAAAGCGAAAAAACAAACUUGGCGGCGCAUACUAACUACCCAUCGUCGGAUUACUUUUGAUUUCUAGAAAGUGUUUUACUCAAUUAUUUCAAUCAAUGUUGAGCUCACCCGUGAUGAGACGAAUUAUACAUAUAAUUGCUAUUAGCUAAUUCACAUUGUGGUUUCUUUCAGCCGAGAGUUAUCUAAAUACAAUCGCUUGUGUUAUGUCACAAGCUUGUGUUAUUUCCUCAGUUCCCGAUAGGACUAAUGAACCUACAUUUUCCGGUUUGGAUGAUUGUGUAUGCUGUAGCUACUUCUGUGAAGGUCUGAACAUUGGAUCCAAAAAUAAAUCUUGUCACAUUCAGGACAUAACUUUUGUGAGGACUUUUUCUGUGAAAAAACAGUGUGGCCAGCUCAAAUGCUGACUAUUGUGUCAAUCGAAACUGGCAGUUCUAUAUACGCGUUCUUGUCACACCGGUUGAUCGUAAGCUGCAGGGACCACUGUAGAAUGAUCACACCCAUGUCUGUAUGUGUGAACAUUUUUCAUUUAAAAAAAAUAAAUCUUUCAAAAUUGUG